UGGGUGAGGCAGUGGCAGUAUCAUAGCCAAUGAGGUUAAUCCGAGGCGUGAUUAUUGCUAGUGGAAUCUUUUACUGGGCUGACUUCUGUUGGUGAGAGAGACAAACUUUCAAGCUUACACUGAG
This 124-nucleotide small nuclear RNA is filed under the name Chelonoidis abingdonii (Abingdon island giant tortoise). Its description in RNAcentral is "U4 spliceosomal RNA (ENSCABG00000005802.1)". It matches the Rfam family "U4 spliceosomal RNA". From Rfam's summary of the family: U4 small nuclear RNA (U4 snRNA) is a component of the major U2-dependent spliceosome. The structure of U4 snRNA from yeast and human has been reported. The record is from RNAcentral. Lineage: Eukaryota; Metazoa; Chordata; Testudines; Testudinidae.